AGAACGAACGCUGGCGGCACGCCUAACACAUGCAAGUCGAGCGCCCAGCAAUGGGAGCGGCGGACGGGUGAGGAACACGUGGGAACAUGCCUUUCGGUUCGGCACAACUGCGGGAAACUGCAACUAAUUCCGGAUACGCCCUUACGGGGAAAGAUUUAUCGCCGAAAGAUUGGCCCGCGUCUGAUUAGCUAGUUGGUGAGGUAAUGGCUCACCAAGGCUUCGAUCAGUAGCUGGUUUGAGAGAACGACCAGCCACACUGGGACUGAGACACGGCCCAGACUCCUACGGGAGGCAGCAGUGGGGAAUCUUGGACAAUGGAGGAAACUCUGAUCCAGCGAUGCCGCGUGAGUGAUGAAGGCCUUCGGGUUGUAAAACUCUUUUACCAGGGAAGAUAAUGACUGUACCUGGAGAAUAAGCCCCGGCUAACUUCGCGCCAGCAGCCGC
RNAcentral lists this ribosomal RNA (444 nucleotides) under uncultured bacterium. RNAcentral's name for it is "SSU rRNA". It matches the Rfam family "Bacterial small subunit ribosomal RNA", at positions 26 to 518 of the family's 1533-position model. The record is from RNAcentral.